RNAcentral lists this ribosomal RNA (301 nucleotides) under uncultured bacterium. Its description in RNAcentral is "partial 16S ribosomal RNA". It matches the Rfam family "Bacterial small subunit ribosomal RNA", at positions 509 to 807 of the family's 1533-position model. The record is from RNAcentral.
CAGUAGCCGCGGUAAUACGGAGGGUGCAAGCGUUAUCCGGAUUUAUUGGGUUUAAAGGGUCCGUAGGCGGACUUAUAAGUCAGUGGUGAAAGCCUGUCGCUUAACGAUAGAACUGCCAUUGAUACUGUAAGUCUUGAGUAUAUUUGAGGUAGCUGGAAUAAGUAGUGUAGCGGUGAAAUGCAUAGAUAUUACUUAGAACACCAAUUGUGAAGGCAGGUUACCAAGAUAUAACUGACGCUGAGGGACGAAAGCGUGGGUAGCGAACAGGAUUAGAUACCCCCGUAGUCCCUGUCUCUUAUAC